ACAGAUUGAUUGACAUGGAUUUCUCUCUCCUUUCCUGUUUUGUCUGCCAGACAGCUAAGCUGGAUAUGGGAGAGCACAACAGAUUGGAAGAGGAUUUCUGUACAGUCUGUGUUGGCUCUGGACAGAUAGAAAAAAUUGAGGAAUCGAAACAAGUUGCACUGGGACUAAUAUGUUCAAAGAAGCAAGCUCUACACUGAGAGGCUAACAGAGGAGCAAGCCAAA
Molecule: long non-coding RNA, 222 nt
Organism: Tympanuchus pallidicinctus (lesser prairie-chicken)
Lineage: Eukaryota; Metazoa; Chordata; Aves; Galliformes; Phasianidae
Exons: 3
Source: RefSeq, a predicted model, not a curated record